Molecule: long non-coding RNA, 1114 nt
Filed under: Homo sapiens (human)
Lineage: Eukaryota; Metazoa; Chordata; Mammalia; Primates; Hominidae
Description: novel transcript
Source: RNAcentral
GUCACACUGGCUGUGAUUCUCUACUGCAAAGGGGAAAUUAUGGAGAUGAGAAAUACUACCCCAGACUUUAUUCUCCUGGGACUCUUUAACCACACCAGAGCCCACCAAGUCCUCUUCAUGAUGGUUCUGAGUAUCGUUUUGACCUCCCUGUUUGGCAAUUCCCUCAUGAUUCUCCUGAUUCACCGGGACCGGCCGGCUCCACACGCCCAUGUACUUCCUCCUGAGCCAACUCUCCCUCAUGGACGUGAUGCUGGUUUCCACCACUGUGCCCAAAAUGGCGGCUGACUACUUGACCGGAAAUAAGGCCAUCUCCCGCGCUGGCUGUGGUGUGCAGAUCUUCUUCCUCCCCACACUGGGUGGUGGAGAGUGCUUCCUCUUAGCAGCCAUGGCCUAUGACCGCUAUGCGGCUGUCUGCCACCCACUCCGAUAUCCCACUCUCAUGAGCUGGCAGCUGUGCCUGAGGAUGACCAUGUCGUCCUGGCUCCUGGGUGCAGCUGACGGGCUCCUGCAGGCUGUUGCUACCCUGAGCUUCCCAUAUUGCGGUGCACACGAGAUCGAUCACUUCUUCUGCGAGGCCCCCGUGCUGGUGCGUUUGGCUUGUGCUGACACUUCAGUCUUCGAAAACGCCAUGUACAUCUGCUGUGUGUUAAUGCUCCUGGUCCCCUUUUCCCUCAUCCUGUCCUCCUAUGGUCUCAUCCUCGCUGCUGUUCUGCACAUGCGCUCUACAGAAGCCCGCAAGAAGGCCUUCGCCACCUGCUCUUCACAUGUGGCUGUGGUGGGACUCUUUUAUGGAGCUGCCAUUUUUACCUAUAUGAGACCCAAAUCCCACAGGUCCACUAACCACGACAAGGUUGUGUCAGCCUUCUAUAGUAUGUUCACCCCUUUACUAAACCCCCUCAUCUACAGUGUGAGGAACAGUGAGGUCAAGGAAGCCCUGAAACGGUGGCUGGGGACAUGUGUAAACCUGAAACACCAGCAAAAUGAGGCCCACAGGUCAAGAUGAUCUAGUGUCAAAUGACUCUAAGUUCCUGAAUUUAUCAACAUUUUAACACAUUGUAAUUCUCUCCCUUUAGUAGUUCAUGAACAGAAAAUUAAGUUUGUGCAUUGAUAUAAU